UUGAGCCCUUUCCUAACCAUUAUGUGAUGAUAUUUGUAUGCAGAGAGGAGAAUUUCACAUGAAACAACCCCCAAAAUCCAAACACACAAAAUAAGACAUCUAUCGUGAUGAAAUGUCCACCAACAUCUUUGAACUAUCUUUUUGGGGUAAGAUUAACUUGGAUCAAUAUAAUUUGUAGAUAAGAUCGAAACUGUAGAAAAGUUCAACAACAUAGCCUCUACAUAACACUACAUAAACU
Arabidopsis thaliana (thale cress) is the source of this 238-nucleotide long non-coding RNA. RefSeq annotates it as other RNA. NCBI's taxonomy places the organism in Eukaryota, Viridiplantae, Streptophyta, Magnoliopsida, Brassicales, Brassicaceae. The record is from RefSeq. The transcript has a single exon.